Molecule: ribosomal RNA, 506 nt
Filed under: uncultured bacterium
Lineage: Bacteria
Description: partial 16S ribosomal RNA
Rfam family: Bacterial small subunit ribosomal RNA
Source: RNAcentral
AUUGAACGCUGGCGGCAGGCCUAACACAUGCAAGUCGGACGGUAGCACAGAGGAGCUUGCUCCUUGGGUGACGAGUGGCGGACGGGUGAGUAAUGUCUGGGGAUCUGACCGAUAGAGGGGGAUAACCACUGGAAACGGUGGCUAAUACCGCAUAACGUCGCAAGACCAAAGAGGGGGACCUUCGGGCCUCUCACUAUCGGAUGAACCCAGAUGGGAUUAGCUAGUAUGCGGGGUAAUGGACCACCUAGGCGACGAUCCCUAGCUGGUCUGAGAGGAUGGCCAGCCACACUGGAGCUGAGGCAAGGUCCAGACUCCUACGGGAGGCAGCAGUGGGGAAUAUUGCACAAUGGGCGCAAGCCUGAUGCAGCCAUGCCGCGUGUAUGAAGAAGGCCUUCGGGUUGUAAAGUACUUUCAGCGGGGAGGAAGGCGGUGAGGUUAAUAACCUUGCCGAUUGACGUUACCCGCAGAAGAAGCACCGGCUAACUCCGUGCCAGCAGCCGCAGUAA